Molecule: ribosomal RNA, 497 nt
Filed under: uncultured bacterium
Lineage: Bacteria
Description: partial 16S ribosomal RNA
Rfam family: Bacterial small subunit ribosomal RNA
Source: RNAcentral
GAUGAACGCUGGCGGCGUGCCUAAUACAUGCCAGUCGAGCGAACGGACGAGAAGCUUGCUUCUCUGAUGUUAGCGGCGGACGGGUGAGUAACACGUGGAUAACCUACCUAUAUGACUGGGAUAACUUCGGGAAACCGGAGCUAAUACCGGAUAAUAUUUUGAACCGCAUGGUUCAAAAGUGAAAGACGGUCUUGCUGUCACUUAUAGAUGGAUCCGCGCUGCAUUAGCUAGUUGGUAAGGUAACGGCUUACCAAGGCAACGAUGCAUAGCCGACCUGAGAGCGUGAUCGGCCACACUGGAACUGAGACACGGUCCAGACUCCUACGGGAGGCAGCAGUAGGGAAUCUUCCUCAAUGGGCGAAAGCCUGACGGAGCAACGCCGCGUGAGUGAUGAAGGUCUUCGGAUCGUAAAACUCUGUAAUUAGGGAAGAACAUAUGUGUAAGUAACUGUGCACAUCUUGACGGUACCUAAUCAGAAAGCCACGGCUAACUACGUG